Long non-coding RNA from Lycium barbarum (goji berry), 1350 nucleotides. RefSeq lists it as uncharacterized. Lineage: Eukaryota; Viridiplantae; Streptophyta; Magnoliopsida; Solanales; Solanaceae. The record is from RefSeq and is a predicted model, not a curated record. The transcript has 3 exons.
AGGGGGGGAGGAUGUUAUAUCCCGUAUUUUAUACGUUCGGAUAUUCCAAGGCAGUCGUAACGAAGUUAAGGGAAUGACCAUCUUCCAAAUGUAUUUCAAUGAACAAGUGGGUUAUAAAUAUUAUUCACAACAUUAGUAUUAUGGAAAUAUUAAGAAAGGUUGAGGGCGAAAAAGGAAAUUCGCAAAAUAGAACCAUGGUGAUAUUAUGGAAGGCUAGGGGUAAAAUGGUAAUUUCACAAAGUUCAAGAAAAUUCUAGAAAAAAUAAAAAUAAAUAAAUAAAUAAGUAAGUAAGUAAAGAAAGGAGCAUGUGGUCAUUUUAUAUGUGAAGGGGGCAAAGUGUAAAUAUAGAUGGACUAAAGUGUAUGAAAGAAGACACUUGGUCUUCUUUGACCAAGUGAGGAAAAAUCAAGAAAAGAAAAGAAACAUCAAGAAAAAGGGAGAGAAUUCUAGAAAAGAAAGAAAUGGGGCAUGUGACCAUAAUUGGGGGACUAAAUUGCAAAUAUGGAUAAGUGAUGGAAGACCUAUAUAUAUAUAUACAUAAGAGGUCUUCAUAAUUAAAUUAGAGAGAAAGAAAGAACAACAAAAAAAAAAGGGGAAAGAAAGAGAGAGGGUUCGGCCAAGGUAUGGCCAAGCAUGGCCAUGGGAGAUUUGAUCAAGAAAAAUUAUUUCUUUCAAGCUUUUAUACUAAGUGGAAGGUUCUCUACAACGUGGAGUAUUCGUUGGAACAAGUGAAUCAUUCGUUUCGCAAAAAUGAGGUUCUAGCCGGGAAAAGGAACUAGUGCUAAGAUUAACAAGUUGGACGAAUAAGCGUAGCUAGUAAGGCGCGGCGCAGGUACACCCAGAUGAGUUGAGGCCCUUAUAGAAGAUGUUCCAGCGAAGUUGGCGAGCUCCAGUUAGCCCGGGAGUGUAGCCGAGUCAGUGUAUAUGUGCCAUGGUUUCCGAUUGCAGUUAGAGACUUUGCAGACAGGGUCGUGGGAAUAGAGCGUCAGCUUUGUAGACGGCUUCGCCUGUCAAUAUGUUAUUACGUUUCAUGUCACGCGUUCCAUAUGAUGAUACACUCUCCAAAAAAAAAAAAAAAUUGAGAGCUUACUAUGCAUUUUACUCUGAAUUGAUUCCAGAGUUUAUUUAUGUAAUAAGAGUCAGCGGGUUCGCUCGGCUCCAGAUAUGGGGUCGGGUGCCCAUCACACCCUAGUAAGGUCGGGGUGUGACACUUUUGAAAUGCUCGCAGAUGCUUUUAUCAAAGCACAUGCUGGAGCAAAGAAGGUGUCAGCGAGAAAAGCGGAUAUCUUGAAGAUUGCUCAAGGCGAUGCGGAGUUGCUCCGUGAAUUUGCUAUAAGGUUCCAGAAUGA